Molecule: non-coding RNA, 786 nt
Organism: Microcebus murinus (gray mouse lemur)
Lineage: Eukaryota; Metazoa; Chordata; Mammalia; Primates; Cheirogaleidae
Source: RefSeq, a predicted model, not a curated record
UGAUCCUUCCACCUCAGCCUUCCAAACUGCUGGAAUUACAGAUGGCCAUAACAGCUUGUGUGGGAAGGCUCCCUUCAUGGUGAGGAAGUUUAGAAGGACCCUCAAUGAUGUACAGGAAAACACAUGAAGAAAUUAGGAAGAAGUGGAAUUUGAGUUUUACUUUUAAAUAUAAAUAAAAAUUUUAUGAAUGGCAAGGGAGACGUGAGAACUACUAGGCUGAAGAAAACCUAACAAAUCAUUUGGAGAAGGAGAUAGUAGAGUAGAAGACUACUAUUUUGGAGGUAUGGCACUGGAAAAUGCGAUGGAGCAUGAACCUGGAAAAGUGGGUAGUGCUAAAUGUAAGGCCUUUCAGUAUAAACAUGAAGAAUGCAGACCUAAUUCUGUAUGUGCUAUGAGAAAGAAAGAAAGGCUUGAAUAAAACCAACAGAAAAACAUGCCUACAAUAAAGGUAUCUCAAAGAAUAAAUAUACAAGUUCUUCAGUAAUAGGCCAAUCCAGAAACUGGCACACACAAAAAAGUUUCACCAUAUUUGCCAAAUUUCUGCAUGCUUUUUCAUUUUAUGUUUAAUGUAUAUUCUGAAAAGCAGUAGUAGUGUGAAGCAGUUAGGAUACAUUUAGUUUCUGUUAAAUUCAUCUUAAGAAUUUCAAUAGCAUAGAUAUGAACAAUGCUAUAUUUGCCUGUGUUAACAGAGCCUUAAGAAAAUUAAGAAAUUGAAAGAAGAUAAAUAUUCAAUAUUUCAGCAUUCUCCGUGGCUACUUAUAUUCUGCCAAAUAUAGAAAGACCAAA